This 429-nucleotide ribosomal RNA is filed under the name Bacillota bacterium. RNAcentral's name for it is "Firmicutes bacterium partial 16S ribosomal RNA". It matches the Rfam family "Bacterial small subunit ribosomal RNA", at positions 355 to 776 of the family's 1533-position model. The record is from RNAcentral. Lineage: Bacteria; Bacillati; Bacillota.
UGGGGAAUAUUGGACAAUGGGCGAAAGCCUGAUCCAGCGACGCCGCGUGUGUGAAGAAGGCCUGCGGGUUGUAAAGCACUUUCGAUGGGAACGAAAUGUGCCGGGCUAAUACCCCGGCAAGCUGACGUUACUCAAUGAAGAAGCACCGGCUAACUCUGUGCCAGCAGCCGCGGUAAUACAGAGGGUGCGAGCGUUAAUCGGAAUUACUGGGCGUAAAGCGCACGUAGGUGGCGACGUAAGUCGGGUGUGAAAGCCCCGGGCUCAACCUGGGAAUUGCAUUCGAGACUGCAUUGCUGGAGUACGGAAGAGGAAGGCGGAAUUCCCGGUGUAACGGUGAAAUGCGUAGAUAUCGGGAGGAACAUCAGUGGCGAAGGCGGCCUUCUGGUCCAGUACUGACACUCAAGUGCGAAAGCGUGGGGAGCAAACAGG